UUGUGUUUAUUACCUACUAUUUUUUUUAUUACCUACCAUUUUUUUUAUCACCUACCAUUUUUUUUAUCACCUACCAUUUUUUUUAUCAUCUACCAUUUUUUUUAUCAUCUACCAUUUUUUUUAUCACCUACCAUUUUUUUUAUCAUCUACCAUUUUUUUUAUCACCUACCAUUUUUUUUAUCACCUACCAUUUUUUUUAUCACCUACCAUUUUUUUUAUCACCUACCAUUUUUUUUAUCACCUAUCAUUUUUUUUAUCACCUACCAUUUUUUUUAUCACCUACCAUUUUUUUUAUCACCUACCAUUUUUUUUAUCACCUACCAUUUUUUUUAUCACCUACCAUUUUUUUUAUCACCUACCAUUUUUUUUUUUUUUUUUUAUUUUUUUUUUUUUUUCAGAGUAGCUUUUUAUAUGAUCAAUGAAAUAUACACUAAUUUCACGCAUACUAUACCUAUGAACGAAUGGUCAGAAGUAAAACAAGACAACAUAAUAAAUUUUAACUUAAAUUCGUUUUUGGAAAAAUAUAUGGAUCCUUUGACAUAUGAUGCCAUAGCUCAGACAAAUAUAAAAAUUAAUGAAAGCAUGGAAAAUGUCAGAGUAACUAUGGAUACGCUAAUCCGGAAUAAAGAAAAUUUAGACGUUUUAGUUGAUAAAAGUAAAGAUCUGUCGAGUAAGUAUUAAUUGUUUUUACUAAUUUAUUUGUAUAUAUAUAUAUAUAUAUAUAUGUGUAUAUAGGAAUAUACCAUUAUAAUACUUAUACACAUGACGUUAUAUUUUUACAUUUUAUUUAUGCGGU
This 796-nucleotide long non-coding RNA is filed under the name Piliocolobus tephrosceles (Ugandan red Colobus). RNAcentral describes it as "lncRNA (ENSPTEG00000002576.1)". The record is from RNAcentral. Lineage: Eukaryota; Metazoa; Chordata; Mammalia; Primates; Cercopithecidae.